Molecule: long non-coding RNA, 245 nt
Organism: Oreochromis aureus
Lineage: Eukaryota; Metazoa; Chordata; Actinopteri; Cichliformes; Cichlidae
Exons: 3
Source: RefSeq, a predicted model, not a curated record
ACGUUUCAAAGAUCUCAAAGGCUUGAUCGAACAGGAUUUUGUACUGAUGUUUGGUGAGGAUGUAUCAGGCAGGUUGCUGGAGAGGUGGCCAACAGCAUUCAAAAGAAAGAUUAUCCAACAAGGCAGAAAGCUUCCUUCUACCAGUGACCUGAAAGAACUCUUGCUGGCAGCUGACUCACCUGAGGAUGCCACUGAAGUUAAUGCUGACAUUGGCUGGGACAGUGGGACAGGUGGGACAAUAGCAA